This 452-nucleotide ribosomal RNA is filed under the name uncultured bacterium. RNAcentral's name for it is "bacterial SSU rRNA". It matches the Rfam family "Bacterial small subunit ribosomal RNA", at positions 340 to 785 of the family's 1533-position model. The record is from RNAcentral.
UACGGGAGGCAGCAGUGGGGAAUAUUGCACAAUGGGCGCAAGCCUGAUGCAGCCAUGCCGCGUGUAUGAAGAAGGCCUUCGGGUUGUAAAGUACUUUCAGUCGUGAGGAAGGUGUUAAGGUUAAUAACCUUAGCAAUUGACGUUAGCGACAGAAGAAGCACCGGCUAACUCCGUGCCAGCAGCCGCGGUAAUACGGAGGGUGCGAGCGUUAAUCGGAAUUACUGGGCGUAAAGGGCACGCAGGCGGUUAAUUAAGUUGGAUGUGAAAUCCCCGGGCUUAACCUGGGAAUGGCAUUCAAGACUGGUUAGCUAGAGUCUUGUAGAGGGGGUAGAAUUCCAUGUGUAGCGGUGAAAUGCGUAGAGAUGUGGAGGAAUACCGGUGGCGAAGGCGGCCCCUGGACAAAGGCUGACGCUCAUGUGCGAAAGCGUGGGGAGCAAACAGGGAUUAGAUAC